RNAcentral lists this ribosomal RNA (253 nucleotides) under uncultured bacterium. Its description in RNAcentral is "partial 16S ribosomal RNA". It matches the Rfam family "Bacterial small subunit ribosomal RNA", at positions 524 to 776 of the family's 1533-position model. The record is from RNAcentral.
UACGAAGGGGGCUAGCGUUGCUCGGAAUUACUGGGCGUAAAGGGCGCGUAGGCGGAUGUUUAAGUUAGAGGUGAAAGCCCAGGGCUCAACCCUGGAAUAGCCUUUAAUACUGGAUAUCUUGAGUUCGGGAGAGGUGAGUGGAACUCCGAGUGUAGAGGUGAAAUUCGUAGAUAUUCGGAAGAACACCAGUGGCGAAGGCGACUCACUGGCCCGAUACUGACGCUGAGGCGCGAAAGCGUGGGGAGCAAACAGG